Plutella xylostella (diamondback moth) is the source of this 772-nucleotide long non-coding RNA. RefSeq lists it as uncharacterized. NCBI's taxonomy places the organism in Eukaryota, Metazoa, Arthropoda, Insecta, Lepidoptera, Plutellidae. The record is from RefSeq and is a predicted model, not a curated record.
GUCAAACCGAACCGAGUAAAUUUCAGCAGCGCAAGGGCACAUGCGCCGCAUAAAUUUUAACUUUUAAUUGAUUUGCAAUGUAAAGAACUUAGUAAAUUGCAUCCGUAAAUAACCGAAACUAUAUUAUAUAAGAAGGAAAAUGUAUACCGAGUACACAAUAAGUUGUACAUAGCCUACAAUGUAAAAAUUCUACCGUUGAGGGGGGAGAAUGUAACGAAGUCGUUACAACAACGGCCACACACCUACCCGCAUCUCCGAGCCAACAACAAGAACGCCGCGGGGUGGGGCACCGCACAGACCACUCCGGGUGACCAGAGGGGAAGCGGGACGGCACGGCCGCCGCACCUAUAAAGCACCGCAAGACCGCCGCUCCGGCACCAUUCGUCAACUCCAGCUCCGGCGUCUGAUCAGCUCCCAUCCCGUGCUUCCUUCCCACUCACCCUUAUUGUAUUUAUGUAUCUAUAGCCUGCGUCGCGACGAUCUAGUCUCGAUAGGCGCAGCUUGGUUACCCCCUCGUUGUGACUGAGGCUUCGAGCGCGGCGCGGCUGCCAUUAUUAGCCCGAGAUCCUGUACCCUUUAUCCUUUCCUACUAUUUGCUAUAAAUCCGCGUUUGCCCCUUCAGGGCCCUGUUUAAAUAGUUAGAUACUUAAUAGAUAUCCUUAUUUGUGCAUUUGUGUGGUGAAUAUAUAGUUACAAGCUGUAAGUACUAGACAUAUAAGUUAUUAUUGUAAAUAAAGCGGAGCCAGUCCCGCCUAAUUGUUGUAUAUUGUAA